AGGGCUGUGCACGGCCAUGUGCUGACCAUGCAGCCAGCUCUGAGCAAGGCCACGCUGCCCAGCCCUGCUGGACACUGGCAAUGCACUGGAGAACAAGACAAGACACUGACCGUGGGGGCCAGGCGGUCCUGAGGAUGAGUUAGCAGCCCUUGGUGGGGGAGAUGGAGGGCAGACUCUGAGAUAGACAGAGUCCCACUUUACUGCCUUCAGAAGAGUGCCAUGAUGUCACAGGACUCACAGCAACCUCUAGCUCUUGGGCUUCGGCGAUUCUCCUGCCUCAGCCUCCCGAGCAGCUGGGAUUACAGGCGCCUGCCAUAACACCCAGUUCAGCCGGGGCUGGGUUUGAACCUGCCACCCUCCAUAUAUGGGGCCGGCACCCUACUCACUGAGACACAGGCGCCACCCGACACUCAGCUACUUUUUAAAAACUUUUUAUACAGAUAGAGUCUUACUAUGUUACCCAGGCUGGUCUUGAACUCCUGGCCUCAAACCAAUCCUUCCACCUCAGGUUCUCAAACUACUGGUAUUAUAGGCAAGAGUCACCACACUCAGCAUAGGCCAAGAGAUUUUAAAUUCAGAGAAGCCUGGGCUCCAAUUCCAGCUUUACUAUUUUUUAGUUGUCAUAGAUAUAUGAUGUUUCAUGGCCUCAGUUUCCUCAUCUGUAAAAUGGGAACGUGGCACCAUGGCACUGGACCUCAAGGGCAUCGUGAAAUAUAAUGAGAUGAUCUAUGUGAAACACUUAGUGCUGUAGCUGUGACAUGUGGCCAGCUCUGAAUACACAACAAUUUUUUAUUUUGGAGACAGUCACACUAUGUCGCCCUGGGUAGAGUGCCGUGGCAUCACAGCUCACAGCAACCUCAAACUCUUGGGCUCAAGUGAUUCUCUUGCCUCAGCUUCCUGAGUAGCUGGGACUACAGGUGCCUGCCACAAUACCUGGCUAUUUAUUUAUUUAUUUUUUUUUGGUUGCAGUUGUCACUGUUAUUUAGCAGGCCCAGGCUGGGCUUGAACCGGCCAGCUUUGGUGUAUGUGGCUGGCGCCCUACUCACUGAGCUACAGGUGCCAAGACCACAGCAAUUAUUUUUAUUGCAAUUAUGAUCACAACAAGAUCCUAAUUGUUCCUUGGCGAGAUUCUUUCCAAUCUCAGCCUCCUACUCAUGUUGGUGUUUCUUUGCAGGUUGGUUGGACCGCGUUUAUAGUCAGUGUUUGAGGCUGACCCAGGAAUGCUCUGGAGGUGAAGAGACGGCAGAGCACAGUCCCCUUGCCUUCCCAAGACAGUCACCAGGUGGUGUUCAGAUGGAGGGAAGGAGAAGCCACUAGAAGCUGAAAAAGACGAGGAAAUAAAUCCCCCCAGAGCCUCCAGAGGGGAGUGCUGCCUUGCCUGUACCUUGAUUUGAGUCCAGAGACCUGUGACAGAUUUUCAUGCUACAGAACUAUAAGAUAAUAAAUCUAUAUU
Molecule: long non-coding RNA, 1453 nt
Organism: Nycticebus coucang (slow loris)
Lineage: Eukaryota; Metazoa; Chordata; Mammalia; Primates; Lorisidae
Exons: 3
Source: RefSeq, a predicted model, not a curated record